GAUGAACGCUGGCGGCGUGCCUAAUACAUGCAAGUCGAGCGAACAGACGAGGAGCUUGCUCCUCUGACGUUAGCGGCGGACGGGUGAGUAACACGUGGAUAACCUACCUAUAAGACUGGGAUAACCUCGGGAAACCGGAGCUAAUACCGGAUAAUAUAUUGAACCGCAUGGUUCAAUAGUGAAAGACGGUUUUGCUGUCACUUAUAGAUGGAUCCGCGCCGCAUUAGCUAGUUGGUAAGGUAACGGCUUACCAAGGCAACGAUGCGUAGCCGACCGGAGAGGGUGAUCGGCCACACGGGAAGGUGGACACGGUCCAGACUCCUACGGGAGGCAGCAGUAGGGAAUCUUCCGCAGUGGGCGAAAGCCUGACGGAGCAACGCCGCGUGAGUGAUGAAGGUCUUCGGAUCGUAAAACUCUGUUAUUAGGGAAGAACAAAUGUGUAAGUAACUGUGCACGUCUUGACGGUACCUAAUCAGAAAGCCACGGCUAACUACGUG
Molecule: ribosomal RNA, 497 nt
Filed under: uncultured bacterium
Lineage: Bacteria
Description: partial 16S ribosomal RNA
Rfam family: Bacterial small subunit ribosomal RNA
Source: RNAcentral